RNAcentral lists this ribosomal RNA (253 nucleotides) under uncultured bacterium. RNAcentral describes it as "partial 16S ribosomal RNA". It matches the Rfam family "Bacterial small subunit ribosomal RNA", at positions 524 to 776 of the family's 1533-position model. The record is from RNAcentral.
UACAGAGGCCCCAAGCGUUAGGCGGAAUCACUGGGCUUAAAGCGUGCGUAGGCGGCUCUUCAAGUGCUUUGUGAAAGCCCUCGGCUCAACCGAGGAAUUGCUUGGCAUACUGGGGAGCUUGAAUCAUCUAGGGGCAGCUGGAACUGACGGUGGAGCGGUGAAAUGCGUAGAUAUCGUCAGGAACGCCAACGGCGAAAGCAGGCUGCUGGGGAUGCAUUGACGCUGAGGCGCGAUAGCGUGGGGAGCAAACGGG